UACAGAAAAAUGCAAACCGGAAGUCUAAUAUGACUUAAAAUUUCGCCCAAUGACGGAAACAAUAUCCGGAUGCCUUUUUUCUCGUUUUUCUCCCAAAAUAACUUAAUCUGAAUAAUCAUAUAAAUGGAUGACAAAUGCGACUAUACACUGUACAUAUAGGACACAAAGGCAUGAUGAUUAAUUUAUUGUGGAAAGAAGAGAAGCGACACACAAAAUGAGGUCUUCUCGUU
Molecule: long non-coding RNA, 230 nt
Filed under: Mytilus galloprovincialis (Mediterranean mussel)
Lineage: Eukaryota; Metazoa; Mollusca; Bivalvia; Mytilida; Mytilidae
Source: RNAcentral